UCAAGCUACUAAGGGCAUACGGCGGAUGCCUAGGCGCCAUCAGCCGAUGAAGGACGCGGUAAGCUGCGAAAAGCUACGGGGAACUGCAAGCAAGUAUUGAUCCGUAGAUGUCCGAAUGGGGAAACCCACCUGCCGUCAUGGGCAGGUAUCCGAAAGGAAGGGAACCCGGGGAACUGAAACAUCUAAGUACCCGGAGGAAGAGAAAUCAAACGAGAUGCCCACAGUAGCGGCGAGCGAAGAGGGCAGAGGGCAAACCGGGGAGCUACGGCUCUUCGGGGUUGAGGACUGCAUUUAGUCUUAAUGGUCUAUCCGAACUACCUGGAAAGGUAGGCAACACAGUGUAAAAGCCACGUAGGUUAAAGACCAGAGAGAUGAGCAGUAUCCAGAGUACCACGAGGCACGAGGAAUCUUGUGGGAAGCCGGGGGGACCACCCUCCAACCCUAAACACUGAAUGGCGACCGAUAGCGCAUAGUACCGUGAGGGAAAGGUGAAAAGAACCCCGGGAGGGGAGUGAAAGAGAACCUGAAACCGUAUGUCUACAAGCAGUCGGAGCGAAAGCGACGGCGUGCCUAUUGAAGAAUGAACCAACGAGUUACGUGCACUAGCGAGGUUAAGUGGAAGACACGGAGCCGAAGCGAAAGCGAGUCUUAAGAGGGCGGAUAGUUAGUGUACGUAGACCCGAAACCGCAGUGAUCUACCCAUGUCCAGGUUGAAGCGCAGGUAAAAUUGCGUGGAGGACCGAACCUGUGAGCGUUGAAAAGCUUUAGGAUGAGAUGUGGGUAGAGGUGAAAUUCCAAUCGAACGCGGAGAUAGCUGGUUCUCCCCGAAAUAGCUUUAGGGCUAGCCUCAAGUAGUAAGUAUAGGCGGUAGAGCACUGAUCGGGCUAGGGGCCAUAAAGGUUACCGAACCCUGUCAAACUCCGAAUGGUUAUACUGUAGAGCUUGGGAGUCAGACUACGAGUGAUAAGAUCCGUGGUCAAAAGGGAAACAGCCCAGACCACCAGCUAAGGUCCCCAAUGUCGUACUAAGUGGAAAAGGAUGUGGGGUCUCUAAAACAACCAGGAUGUUGGCUUAGAAGCAGCCACCAUUUAAAGAGUGCGUAAUAGCUCACUGGUCGAGAGACCCUGCGCCGAAGAUUACCGGGGCUAAAGUACGAAACCGAAGCUGUGGCUACGACGUAAGUCGUGGGGUAGGGGAGCGUUCUGUGAGGGCUGAAGUCGUUCUGUAAGGAACGGUGGACUUCACAGAAGUGAGAAUGUUGGUAUGAGUAGCGAAAAGAAUGGUGAGAAUCCAUUCCACCGAAAGCAUAAGGAUUCCUGGGCAACGAUCGUCGUCCCAGGGUAAGUCGGGACCUAAUCCGAGGCAUGGAGCGUAGGAGAUGGACAACUGGCAGAUAUUCCAGUACCGGUAAUGAUUGUUUGAGCGAUGGAGUGACACAGGAGGGCAGGCAGGCAGGAGAUUGGUUGUUCCUGUACAAGCGUGUAGGAUGGGACGUAGGCAAAUCCGCGUCCUGUGAGUCUGAGGCGUGAUGUGGAGGUUCCAGAAACGGAACUGAAGCUGCUGACCCCACACUGUCGAGAAAAGCUUCUAGUUAGAGAAUUACCGCCCGUACCGUAAACCGACACAGGUAUGCGGGGAGAGAAUCCUAAGGUGCGCGGGAGAACCCUCGUUAAGGAACUCGGCAAAAUGUACCCGUAACUUCGGGAUAAGGGUAGCCGCUGUUGUGAAGUCUGAACAGACGGAGCAUGAGGCGGUCGCAGAGAAGAGGCCCAAGCGACUGUUUACCACAAACACAGGUGCCUGCUAAAGAGAAAUCUGACGUAUAGGUGCUGACACCUGCCCAGUGCCGGAAGGUUAAGGAAGGAUGUCCGGAGCAAUCCAAAGCAUUCGACCGAAGCCCCGGUGAACGGCGGCCGUAACUAUAACGGUCCUAAGGUAGCGAAAUUCCUUGUCGGGUAAG
RNAcentral lists this ribosomal RNA (1960 nucleotides) under human gut metagenome. RNAcentral's name for it is "bacterial LSU rRNA". It matches the Rfam family "Bacterial large subunit ribosomal RNA", at positions 3 to 1980 of the family's 2925-position model. The record is from RNAcentral.